Molecule: long non-coding RNA, 337 nt
Organism: Onychostruthus taczanowskii (white-rumped snowfinch)
Lineage: Eukaryota; Metazoa; Chordata; Aves; Passeriformes; Passeridae
Exons: 3
Source: RefSeq, a predicted model, not a curated record
GAAGGUGGCAGAGCCCCCCCCGAGUGACUCCGACCCCCCCGGGGACCUCGUGGACGUCGAAGGAUUUGGGGACCCCCCCCCCAAGAAGCUGAACUUCGACCAGGCCUGAAAUUGGAGCCCUCUCUUGGAACCCCCAAAACUUCUCGGGGGGGGUCCCCAAAACCCCCUGGACCCCCCCAAAUUCCUCCCUGAACCCCCAAACUUGGGAGGUCCCCAAAUCUCCCUCAAUUUUGGGGUCCCCCCUCCCAAUCUUUGGGGUCUUCUCUCAAGAGACUCCUCCCAGUUUUGGGGGGCCCCCCCCUUUGUCGCCCCCAAUAAAAUUUUGGGGUGUCCCCCC